UUUCUGUGAUGAAUCAAACUAGCUCACUAUGACUGACAGUGAAAACACAUGAACACCUGAGAAAC
Molecule: small nucleolar RNA, 65 nt
Organism: Callithrix jacchus (white-tufted-ear marmoset)
Lineage: Eukaryota; Metazoa; Chordata; Mammalia; Primates; Cebidae
Source: Ensembl